CACUCCUGCGGGAGGCAGCAGUGGGGAAUUUUGGACAAUGGGCGAAAGCCUGAUCCAGCAAUGCCGCGUGCAGGAUGAAGGCCUUCGGGUUGUAAACUGCUUUUGUACGGAACGAAAAAGCUCCUUCUAAUACAGGGGGCCCAUGACGGUACCGUAAGAAUAAGCACCGGCUAACUACGUGCCAGCAGCCGCGGUAAUACGUAGGGUGCGAGCGUUAAUCGGAAUUACUGGGCGUAAAGCGUGCGCAGGCGGUUAUGUAAGACAGAUGUGAAAUCCCCGGGCUCAACCUGGGAACUGCAUUUGUGACUGCAUGGCUAGAGUACGGUAGAGGGGGAUGGAAUUCCGCGUGUAGCAGUGAAAUGCGUAGAUAUGCGGAGGAACACCGAUGGCGAAGGCAAUCCCCUGGACCUGUACUGACGCUCAUGCACGAAAGCGUGGGGAGCAAACAGGAUUAGAAACCCUUGUAGUCCCAUGAU
This 476-nucleotide ribosomal RNA is filed under the name uncultured organism. RNAcentral describes it as "partial 16S ribosomal RNA". It matches the Rfam family "Bacterial small subunit ribosomal RNA", at positions 334 to 801 of the family's 1533-position model. The record is from RNAcentral.